GUUUUAUAAAAUGACACCCUGAAACUUUUGCUUUUGUAAUUAUUCACUGGAAAAGAUAUCUGAUUUCUAAUUCAGAUUGAUUUCAGACGUGGGAAUUUCCAGUGAAAGUGUGGAUUUGUCAUUUUUCCUCUUUUCUCCACUUCCUAUCGAGACUCUCUCUGGUAUUGUCUGCUCUUCUCGUCUUUGAAGCGUAACGUUUUGACCUUGAUUUUACAGUGAUCUCACUAAAUAAAGCGUCUCUUUCUCACACAUGCAGACACCUUUAUGGUUCUGCUGUUUACUGCGCGUCUGGAUUAUUUAAAUCGCCGCUGAAGUACACCUGAGGCCUGCGUUUAUAUGUCUGUUUAUUUACUGAGACUGUCAGCUUAUGAAAAUGCAUUUUAAAAUGUCAGUUAUUAAUAGAAUAAUUUAUACAUGAUGCAUUUUUACCAAGUGCAAUUUUGUUUAACAUUUCCAUGUAUGCAUUUAACAAAUGCUCUUAUCCAAAGUGACUGUGCUGGCAAACCAAAUGCUGAGGAAAAAACUUGACAAAUGCAAAGAGGGAAGACAUCUGAAGACGCUUCAGCAGAGACACAAUCAACAACACACUGCACGGGUCAGUUUGGAGAGGUACUGGAGGAAAUUAUGACUUUAUAUAUGCAGAAUGAUGAUUAUAAAUACUGCAUUUUGUUUCUGUGAUUCUUUGCAUCGUCUGCACAUUUGAGCCCUUUCCAGCAGGGAUUGUAUGAUGUUGAGCCCAUAAUCAGACUGAAGACACUCAAACACAACUAUUACAACACUGAAAAAAUCUCAGUUGCUAAAUGUAAUGAAAUUGGCUCUACAUUUCAUGGCUCUAAAACCUAAAAAUGUUGAAAAUGGUUAAAUUAAUUUGGUGUGUAAUGAAAAAACAUGUUGCCAUAUUAUUCUUUUACACAGUGAAACAAUUGUGCAAAUUGUAAUCAAGUUUCUUUUGUGUGGAAAAUAUUUAAAUAAAUAAAUAAGAUG
Cyprinus carpio carpio is the source of this 984-nucleotide long non-coding RNA. Lineage: Eukaryota; Metazoa; Chordata; Actinopteri; Cypriniformes; Cyprinidae. The record is from Ensembl.